CCUGGGUGAGCGCCAGACGCCUGGGGUCCGUUUGCCGCCUGCUGAGACUAGACAAGGACCCCGGGAGGGCGACGUGGGGGGAGAGGGCUACGGAUGGAGGUCCCGCUGCGCUUGGGCCGGGUCCGGAGCCACCAGGACGCACAGCGCGUUUCCCUCAUUCUCAGUCAGGUGGUUGAGUUACCCAAGCCUUCAUAACCAGAGGGUCUGAGCACUUGUUGGACUGUGCUUACUGCAGCUUCUCAUUUACAAUUACCACUGCACCUGAGAGUACCAAGAGAUUCCUUAGCCAGAGAUUACGAUUUCCAACUUCCAGCUCCUCAAGAUGGAGAAACAGAGGGAACAAGAGACUUGGAAUCACUCUGUCCUGGCUGUGGGUCUAUGAAAAAGAAUGUGGCCUACUGCUAAAUACAUUGAUUUUGAAGCUAGAUAGCUCUGGUUUUGGGGAGCAAGUGAUUUGAUCUCUCAGAGACUCAGUUACUUCAUCAGUAAACAGAGAUUACCAUAUCCACCAGUAAUGGCUAUAGGAGUAGUAAUAGGGAUGAUAUAGGUGAAAGCACUGAUCACUGAAUGAUUCCAAAGACAGGUGCAGGGAGGUUCAGGCAUCAGACAGGCUACCUGGAUCCAAAUCCCAGCUCCAUCAUUUACUAUUUUCAUGGCCUUUACAAACCACUAAACUUCUCUCUGAGCUUCAAUUUUCCCAUCUGUAACAUGGGAACUAAUAAAAUGAACCCUUCCUAAUAAAGUUGCCAGGAAGAUUCAUUGAAACAUUGAAUGUAAAGUAUUUAACUCAAUAUAGAGCACAGGGGAGCACCAAAUAAAAUUCAGGUGUUACAUUUUAAGCACGUGUUCACCGAGGCUCCCAAUUCAGGUGGUGAGGAUUCUAUAAUGAUCAAUUCCUCCUAAGGUAUUUGUAAAAUGACCCACCAGAUUACCAGCCAUUCCUAUAUUUCCAGAACCCUUCGGAGUCCUUUAUGUAACCUGGGAGAGCUGUUAUUCUUUUUUCUUUUUGGUAGAAGUGAAAUCCUGCAGGAAAACGUGCUCCAUUUUGGUUAUUUCUGUUAUAUCACAAGGUGGGCUGGAUAGCAAGUUUUGGAAGCGCUGAACACCCACACGGAGCUGGCUGCUCUCAGGCAGGGAGGCAUCUUCACUAAGGAGAGGUGCAGUCUGUGUCCCCGUCCUUGACUCUGAGAAUCUCUGUGAUCAACAGAAUGCAGAAAAGUGACACUGCAUGGCUUCUGAGGCUAGGUCCAGAAAAGGUGAUGCAGCUUCCCCCUUUGCGCUGAAAUGCAGUGCUUGGACCUCAGAGCUAUUGACUAAGAAGUCCAUGCACCCUGAGCUUCUCAUGCUGGGGAAGCCAUGUGCAGGCAUUCAGUUCCCAGCCCAGCUGAGCUCCAUCCUGGCUGCAACAAUUGUUCUCAUGAGGAAGCCAUCUUGGACACUCAGCUCCAUGGAGCCUCCACGUGUCGCCAGCCCCAACUGACAUCUGUCUCACUGCAACCACAGAAGAGCCUCCAACCAAGAACUGCACAGCUGAACCCUUUCUAAAUUCUUGAUCUCCAAAAAGCCAUGCACAAAAUAAAAUGGUUGUUUUGAGCCACUAAACUCUGGA
This is a long non-coding RNA of Gorilla gorilla gorilla (western lowland gorilla), 1609 nucleotides long. RefSeq lists it as uncharacterized. The transcript is spliced from 4 exons. Lineage: Eukaryota; Metazoa; Chordata; Mammalia; Primates; Hominidae. The record is from RefSeq and is a predicted model, not a curated record.